Molecule: small nuclear RNA, 112 nt
Organism: Echinops telfairi (small Madagascar hedgehog)
Lineage: Eukaryota; Metazoa; Chordata; Mammalia; Afrosoricida; Tenrecidae
Source: Ensembl
GUGCUUGCUUCGACAGCACAUAUACUAUAAUUGGAACAAUACAGAAAAGAUUUGCAUGGCAUGGCCCCUGUGCAAGGAAGACAUGCAAAUUUGUGAAGCAUUUCACAUUUUU